RNAcentral lists this ribosomal RNA (276 nucleotides) under uncultured bacterium. Its description in RNAcentral is "partial 16S ribosomal RNA". It matches the Rfam family "Bacterial small subunit ribosomal RNA", at positions 29 to 334 of the family's 1533-position model. The record is from RNAcentral.
AACGAACGCUGGCGGCAGGCCUAACACAUGCAAGUCAAACGGCCCUUCGGGGCAGUGGCGCACGGGUGCGUAACGCGUGGGAAUGUACACCUUGGUGCGGAAUAACGUAGAGAAAUUUACGCUAAUACCGCAUAAUGACUCCGGUCCAAAGAUUUAUCGCCAAGGGAUCAGCCCGCGUUAGAUUAGUUUGUUGGUGAGGUAACGGCUCACCAAGACUACGAUCUAUAGGGGGUCUUAGAGGAUGAUCCCCCACACUGGUACUGAGACACGGGCCAG